Molecule: non-coding RNA, 75 nt
Organism: Myotis brandtii (Brandt's bat)
Lineage: Eukaryota; Metazoa; Chordata; Mammalia; Chiroptera; Vespertilionidae
Source: Rfam
GGUGGUUCUCAGGUGACGCACCCAGGAAUCGGGCUCCCUCCUUUCUGGUUCCAGGUGCGUCACCAGAGAACCGCU